CCUACGGGAGACAGCAGUGGGGAAUAUUGCACAAUGGGGGAAACCCUGAUGCAGCGACGCCGCGUGAGUGAAGAAGUAUUUCGGUAUGUAAAGCUCUAUCAGCAGGGAAGAAAAAAGACGGUACCUGACUAAGAAGCCCCGGCUAACUACGUGCCAGCAGCCGCGGUAAUACGUAGGGGGCAAGCGUUAUCCGGAUUUACUGGGUGUAAAGGGAGCGUAGACGGCGCGGCAAGUCUGAAGUGAAAGGCAGGGGCUUAACCCCUGAACUGCUUUGGAAACUGUGAAGCUGGAGUGCAGGAGAGGUAAGCGGAAUUCCUGGUGUAGCGGUGAAAUGCGUAGAUAUCAGGAGGAACACCGGCGGCGAAGGCGGCUUACUGGACUGUAACUGACGUUGAGGCUCGAAGGCGUGGGGAGCAAACAGGAUUAGAUACCCGUGUAGUC
This 441-nucleotide ribosomal RNA is filed under the name uncultured bacterium. RNAcentral's name for it is "partial 16S ribosomal RNA". It matches the Rfam family "Bacterial small subunit ribosomal RNA", at positions 338 to 795 of the family's 1533-position model. The record is from RNAcentral.